GCCUUCGUGGUGUAGUGGUCAGCACGCUCGGCGCGUAUUCGAGAGGUCCGUGGUUCGAGUCCCGGUGAAGGCA
Molecule: non-coding RNA, 73 nt
Organism: Stegodyphus mimosarum
Lineage: Eukaryota; Metazoa; Arthropoda; Arachnida; Araneae; Eresidae
Source: Rfam